RNAcentral lists this long non-coding RNA (2399 nucleotides) under Eucalyptus grandis. Its description in RNAcentral is "long non-coding RNA (EGRA_LNC001638)". Lineage: Eukaryota; Viridiplantae; Streptophyta; Magnoliopsida; Myrtales; Myrtaceae. The record is from RNAcentral.
CGCGCGCCCAGGCCGCGCGAUCCAGCCGCGACCCAGCCGCUGUUCACCUCUGUCCAGCCCCUGUCCGGCCACCUCCGGCCACCGCCUAGCCCCGCCGGACCACCCCCCGCGUCCCCCUCGCCCUCCGCCGGCUUCCCCUCGCCGCCCUAGCCGUCGGAGCAGCCUCGGCCAGCCUCGUCCAGCAGACCCACGAAGUGGGUUUUAGCGACUUCGGGCCCGCUUUUGGGCCGUUUCCGGGCCCCGAAUCCGUGAGUCUCUUUGGGAACAAUCGUUCCUCGCGUCGCCGCCGUCAGAUUGAUCCGAUUUGCGCGCGAUUUGGUGAGUAAUCUCACUAAUCCAGGAUUAGUUGACUAAUUAUGCUUAAGGUUGGUUUAUUUUUAAUUAAUUAUGUUUAGGUUGUUAGAUUAGAAUAAAUUAGCAAUUAUUAGUCCAUUGUGAUGCGAUUUAGAUAAAUUGAUUGCGUAAUUAGCAAGUAGACGUGGUCUACUAAUUAUUGGAAGUGCCUCGGGAUUUUUCCCGACCCUUAGUGGGUUCCAAUUAGGCUUUUCGGGCCUAAGUGGAAUUUUUAGUAUUUAAAUAUUAAUUUUCGGAAUUAAAUUAAAUAAUUAUUUAUUUUCCGAAAAUUCAACUGAGAUGGCCUGGAACCGGAAUAUUAUGCUGAUGACCGUGGUGACGUCCGUUUAUUUAAUCGGGCUUUAUUUUGAGCUAAAUUGAAUUUUUAAUAUUAAUUAUUUAAUUUUCGAAAUUAAUUAUUUAAUUAAUUAUUUUUCAGAAAUUAAGAUGUUGAUGGCCGACGACUGAAAUCUAGUGCUGAUUGUCGUGGUGCAGUCCGUUUAUUUAUUUGAGCUCUACGUUGUAUGAAAUUAAAUAAAUUGUGAUGGUUUAGGGAUUUACCCUAAUUUGAUUGGAAUCGAUUGAGAUUGAAUUAUUGAUUGGUGAUUGGCCAAGUAUGUUAUUCAGCAUUUAUAAUGCUUUGUUGAGUUGAUUUAAUUAUUUGAUUGAGAAAUUGUUGGGCAUUGGUUGUCGGUAUUGAAAGUAGAUUGGUAAUCACUUGAAAGAAAACACGUGGGCUCGGUGAAUUGGAAUAUCACCCGGAGAAUGCACGUGAAUUCAGUGGUUGAAUAUGUCACUUUGGCGAAAAGGUCGCCUGAGAGAAUGCACGUGGCUCGGAGACUCGGUAUAUCGUCCUGGAGAAUGCACGUGGCUCGGUGACAGAGUUUGGCAUCUAAAAGGGCACGUGGCUCGGUGAUCUGAUGCGUCACUUUGGUAAGCGAGUACCUUAGAGAAUGCACGUGGGCCCAGGCAUCUAAAAGGACAUGUGGCUCGGUGAUCUGAUGCGUCACUUUGGUAAGCGAGUACCUUAGAGAAUGCACGUGGGUCCAGUAUUCGGAAUGGCAUCUAAAAGGGCACGUGGCUCGCUGAUCUGAUGCGUCACUUUGGUAAGCGAGUACCUUAGAGAAUGCACGUGGGUCCAGUAUUCGGAAUGGCAUCUAAAAGGGCACGUGGCUCGGUGAUCUGAUGCGUCACUUUGGUAAGCGAGUACCUUAGAGAAUGCACGUGGGCCCGGGCAUCGUAAAAAGGACACGUGGCUCGGUGGCUUGAUGUACCACCUUGGCGAAGAGGUCGCCUUAGAGAAUGCACGUGGGUCCGAGGUUUGAGGCACGUGGCUCGGAGACUUGGAAAGUCGUCCUGGAUAAUGCACGUGGCCUAGCUUUUAAAUAUCCCACAGUGGGGAUUGAAUUGUAUGACAUGUAAUCGACUAGUUCGAUUUGUUUGAAGCGAAUGGCUGUUUAUUGUGAAUUGUACUGACUUGCAGGUGGGAUCAGAGGCCAAGGUAAGUCAUCUGCCCUGUGCGUGUUUAGGCAGCCUUUAGUAAAUUGGUUUACUAAUCGGGCUUAGUGGGGUAGAACUCGCUGAGACGUAGUCUCAUCCCAGUUUGGGGAAAACCAUUUCAGGACCCCGCUGAAGAGCUGUGGAGGAGGAAUCCAAGAAGGAGAACUCGGAGGUGAGAUCUGAAGAGAAGGAUUUUUGGAAGAAGAAGAUAGUCCCGAGAGGGGCCUUGAGUACGGUCUGGAUGGAUUCAGAUCCUAUCUUCUUUUGAGAUCUCCUUUUUGAUGUGAAUAGUUAUGAAGUGAUUUAUGGUUUGUAUAAAAGUUUGGUUAUAAAUUUCAAUAUGAAAAAUAUGGCACUGCUUUUCUAUCCCGUCGUUUUAUUGUCUGGGGAUUUUAACUGCUUCCGCAUGUGCUUAAAAAUGAAAGGGUCGGCGAUACAUUGUCCUGGGAUAUCGCAUUAUAAAAUCGACCAAGUGAGACGGAUGUGUGCGUGCCUAAGGAUCGGGCCGUGACAAGACCGAUCGGUGAGGGUGACGGUGCGUUGGCUUACGGAGCUGCGAAGGUGGG